RNAcentral lists this non-coding RNA (29 nucleotides) under Homo sapiens (human). The record is from RNAcentral. Lineage: Eukaryota; Metazoa; Chordata; Mammalia; Primates; Hominidae.
CAGAUAUGCAUAGGCGGAUUGACACCUCU